CACGUAGGGGGCAAGCGUUAUCCGGAUUUACUGGGUGUAAAGGGAGCGUAGGUGGCAUGGCAAGUCAGAUGUGAAAGCCCGGGGCUCAACCCCGGGACUGCAUUUGAAACUGCCAGGCUGGAGUGCAGGAGAGGUAAGUGGAAUUCCUAGUGUAGCGGUGAAAUGCGUAGAUAUUAGGAGGAACACCAGUGGCGAAGGCGGCUUACUGGACUGUAACUGACACUGAGGCUCGAAAGCGUGGGGAGCAAACAGG
This 253-nucleotide ribosomal RNA is filed under the name uncultured prokaryote. RNAcentral's name for it is "partial 16S ribosomal RNA". It matches the Rfam family "Bacterial small subunit ribosomal RNA", at positions 524 to 776 of the family's 1533-position model. The record is from RNAcentral.